RNAcentral lists this ribosomal RNA (490 nucleotides) under uncultured bacterium. Its description in RNAcentral is "partial 16S ribosomal RNA". It matches the Rfam family "Bacterial small subunit ribosomal RNA", at positions 30 to 507 of the family's 1533-position model. The record is from RNAcentral.
AUUGAACGCUGGCGGCAGGCCUAACACAUGCAAGUCGAACGGUAACAGGAAGCAGCUUGCUGCUUUGCUGACGAGUGGCGGACGGGUGAGUAAUGUGUGGGAAACUGCCUGAUGGAGGGGGAUAACUACUGGAAACGGUAGCUAAUACCGCAUAACGUCGCAAGACCAAAGAGGGGGACCUUAGGGCCUCUUGCCAUCGGAUGUGCCCAGAUGGGAUUAGCUAGUAGGUGGGGUAACGGCUCACCUAGGCGACGAUCCCUAGCUGGUCUGAGAGGAUGACCAGCCACACUGGAACUGAGACACGGUCCAGACUCCUACGGGAGGCAGCAGUGGGGAAUAUUGCACAAUGGGCGCAAGCCUGAUGCAGCCAUGCCGCGUGUAUGAAGAAGGCCUUCGGGUUGUAAAGUACUUUCAGCGGGGAGGAAGGGAGUAAAGUUAAUACCUUUGCUCAUUGACGUUACCCGCAGAAGAAGCACCGGCUAACUCCGUG